This 301-nucleotide ribosomal RNA is filed under the name uncultured bacterium. RNAcentral describes it as "partial 16S ribosomal RNA". It matches the Rfam family "Bacterial small subunit ribosomal RNA", at positions 509 to 807 of the family's 1533-position model. The record is from RNAcentral.
CAGUAGCCACGGUAAUACGAAGGGUGCGAGCGUUACUCGGAAUUACUGGGCGUAAAGCGUGCGUAGGUGGUGGUUUAAGUCCGUUGUGAAAGCCCUGGGCUCAACCUGGGAAUUGCAGUGGAUACUGUUUGGCUUGAGUUCGGGAGAGGUGAGUGGAAUUCCCAGUGUAGAGGUGAAAUUCGUAGAUAUUGGGAAGAACACCAGUGGCGAAGGCGGCUCACUGGACCGACACUGACGCUGAGGCGCGAAAGCGUGGGGAGCAAACAGGAUUAGAUACCCCUGUAGUCCCUGUCUCUUAUAC